Molecule: ribosomal RNA, 494 nt
Filed under: uncultured bacterium
Lineage: Bacteria
Description: partial 16S ribosomal RNA
Rfam family: Bacterial small subunit ribosomal RNA
Source: RNAcentral
GACGAACGCUGGCGGCGCGCUUAACACAUGCAAGUCGAACGGAAAGGCCUGCUUUCCCUUGUGGAUUGCGGGUACUCGAGUGGCGAACGGGUGAGUAACACGUGAGUGAUCUGCCCCCAACUUGGGUAUAAGCCUGGGAAACUGGGUCUAAUUCCCGAUAGGACUGCAGGGUGGUGCCUGUGGUGGAAAACGAUUUUCUAGUGGUUGGGGAUGAGCUCGCGGCCUAUCAGCUUGUUGGUGGGGUAAUGGCCUACCAAGGCGGCGACGGGUAGCCGGCCUGAGAGGGUGGACGGCCACAUUGGGACUGAGAUACGGCCCAGACGCCUACGGGAGGCAGCAGUGGGGAAUAUGGCACAAUGGGCGGAAGCCUGAUGCAGCGACGCCGCGUGGGGGAUGACGGCCUUCGGGUUGUAAACUCCUUUCGACCGCGAGGAAGCCACCUGGUUGGAAGGGUGGUGACGGUAGUGGUAGAAGAAGCACCGGCUAACUACGUG